Molecule: ribosomal RNA, 400 nt
Filed under: uncultured Campylobacterota bacterium
Lineage: Bacteria; Pseudomonadati; Campylobacterota
Description: bacterial SSU rRNA
Rfam family: Bacterial small subunit ribosomal RNA
Source: RNAcentral
CAGAGAUGUAAAAGUGCUAGUUUACUAGAGCUUCAUACCAGGUGCUGCACGGCUGUCGUCAGCUCGUGUCGUGAGAUGUUAGGUUAAGUCCCUGCAACGAGCGCAACCCUCGUGUUUAGUCACUAACAGAUUAUGCUGAGGACUCUAGACAUACUGCCUGGGCAACCAGGAGGAAGGUGAGGACGACGUCAAGUCAUCAUGGCCCUUACGGCCAGGGCUACACACGUGCUACAAUGGGGUAUACAAAGAGCAGCGAUACCGCGAGGUGGAGCAAAUCUCAUAAAAUAUCUCCCAGUUCGGAUUACACUCUGCAACUCGAGUGUAUGAAGUUGGAAUCGCUAGUAAUCGUAGAUCAGCAAUGCUACGGUGAAUACGUUCCCGGGUCUUGUACUCACCGCCC